Long non-coding RNA from Choloepus didactylus (southern two-toed sloth), 400 nucleotides. RefSeq lists it as uncharacterized. The record is from RefSeq and is a predicted model, not a curated record. NCBI's taxonomy places the organism in Eukaryota, Metazoa, Chordata, Mammalia, Pilosa, Megalonychidae. The transcript has 3 exons.
AUAACUUGCCCCAAAUCACACAGCUACAAUGUGUCAGAGCUGAGAUUCGAGUUCAUGUCUGACUCCAAAUCUACUAAUCUUUCCACUACACCACAUCUAUUCCGAGGCUCACACAGGUGGCGGAUGUGGCUGUUGGCCGACUGGAUCAUGGAGUAGAAGUUGUUGGCACUGCGGCGAUUCACCUCUCCUCGCUCAAUCCAGGAAAUACAGAUGCAGAGGGAAGACAGCCACCUGAAGAUGGAGGCAGAGAUUGGAGUUAUACUGCACAAGCCAAGAAACGACUAGAAUUGCCAGCAACCACCAGAAGCUAGGACGAGGCAGUUAAGGAUCCUUUCCUGGAGCCUUCAGAGAGAAUAUGGCCCUGUUGACACCCUGAUUUCAGACUUCAGGCCUCCAGAAG